This 466-nucleotide ribosomal RNA is filed under the name uncultured bacterium. RNAcentral describes it as "bacterial SSU rRNA". It matches the Rfam family "Bacterial small subunit ribosomal RNA", at positions 328 to 793 of the family's 1533-position model. The record is from RNAcentral.
UCAGUCGACUCCUACGGGGAGCAGCAGUGAGGAUAUUGGGUCAAUGGGCGCAAGCCUGAACCAGCCAUGCCGCGUGCAGGAAGACUGCCUAUGGGUUGUAAACUGCUUUAUACAGGAAGAAACACUCGGACGUGUCCGAGCUUGACGGUACUGUAAGAAUAAGGAUCGGCUAACUCCGUGCCAGCAGCCGCGGUAAUACGGAGGAUCCAAGCGUUAUCCGGAAUCAUUGGGUUUAAAGGGUCCGUAGGUGGAUUAGUAAGUCAGAGGUGAAAGCCUGCAGCUCAACUGUAGAACUGCCUUUGAUACUGCUAGUCUUGAGUCAUUAUGAAGUGGUUAGAAUGUGUAGUGUAGCGGUGAAAUGCAUAGAUAUUACACAGAAUACCGAUUGCGAAGGCAGAUCACUAAUAAUGUACUGACACUGAUGGACGAAAGCGUGGGGAGCGAACAGGAUUAGAUACCCUGGUAG